GCAUUGGUCGUAUAGUGGUGAGCAUAGCUGCCUUCCAAGCAGUUGACCCAGGUUUGAUUCGUGGCCAACACA
Transfer RNA from Amazona aestiva (blue-fronted amazon), 72 nucleotides. It matches the Rfam family "tRNA". Rfam says of the family: Transfer RNA (tRNA) molecules are approximately 80 nucleotides in length. Lineage: Eukaryota; Metazoa; Chordata; Aves; Psittaciformes; Psittacidae. The record is from Rfam.